RNA transcript from Mus musculus (house mouse), 2997 nucleotides. It is a transcript of the gene named polymerase (DNA-directed), epsilon 4 (p12 subunit), with no coding region annotated. The transcript has 5 exons. The record is from RefSeq and is marked validated. NCBI's taxonomy places the organism in Eukaryota, Metazoa, Chordata, Mammalia, Rodentia, Muridae.
ACAUCAGACCCCGGAGUCAGAGGGGGCGGUUCUGGCGCGCCACGCCUAGUGAGGGUGGGGCCACGCCCACACGGAGAGGCGUGGUCUCUACCCGGCGCGGGAAAGGGGCCGAAAUCGCGUGCGCGCGCUCAGUCAGCGACCGCGCGCCACACGUUUCGGGAGGGGAUGGCGGCAGCGGCGGCUGCUGGGAGCGGGACGCCCAGAGAGGAAGAGGCUCCCGGAGGGGAGGCAGCGGCUUCGCAGGCCCAAGCCCCGACGAGUGCACCCGGGGGAGUUCGCCUCUCGAGGCUGCCUCUGGCGAGAGUAAAGGCCUUGGUGAAGGCAGACCCUGACGUAACGCUGGCGGGACAGGAAGCCAUCUUUAUCCUGGCGCGUGCCGCGGAACUGUUCGUGGAGACUAUCGCAAAAGAUGCCUACUGCUGUGCUCAACAAGGAAAGAGGAAAACUCUCCAGAGGAGAGAUUUGGAUAAUGCAAUAGAAGCUGUGGAUGAAUUCGCUUUUCUAGAAGGACUAUUUAACAAACUGCAAUCAACAGCAAUCAACAGCUAUGAACCAGCAACCUACCCUGCCUCUUGGGACCCUAGCAUUUAUAUACCCUCUGAAGAGUUCCCAGAAUUCCAGAUGUCACACUAUCACAGAAACUAUCCUCAGCUGGCAAAAAAUCAUACCCCUGCUAGAGCAUGAGGCAAAUCAUAGUCAGCUGCUGUGGACAGACUGAACCAGCCCCAUACCACACCUGGGAUUAAAACAAAAACAUGUUCUUAUAUUUCUGUUUUUCUUUUUCUUUUUUUGUAGAACAUGAUUUUAAUAUUUUCAACUGUUAAUAUUCAACAAACAGAAUAAUUAUUUAAGAUAUAUUUCAUUGUUAUGUCUCCCUUUUCAUUUCUGAUUUUAUUAAUAAGGACACUGUCUUUGUGCCCUUUGGUUAGUCUGGCUAAGGGUUUAUCUAUCUUGUUGAUUUUCUCAAAGAACCAGCUCCUGGUUUUGUUGAUUCUUUGUAUAGUUCUUUUUGUAUCUGUUUGGUUGAUUCAAGCCAAACAGAUAAAAAAAGAACUAUACAAAUUCAAGGCCUGAGUUUGAUUAUUUCCGGUGGUCUACUCCUCUUGGAUGUAUUUGCGUCUUUUUGUUCUAGAGCUUUCAGGUGUGCUGUCAAACUGCUAGUGUAAGCUCUCUUCAGUUUCUUUUUGGAGGCACUCAGAGCUAUGAGUUUUCUUCUUACCACUGCUUUCUUGUAUCCCAUAAGUUUUGAUAUGAUGUGUCUUCAUUUUCAUUAAAUUCUAAAAAGCCUUUAAAUUUCUUUCUUUAUUUCUUCCUUGACUAAAUUAUCAUUGAGUAGAGUGUUGUUCGGCUUCCAUGUGUAUGUGUGUUUUCCAUGUUUUUGUUGGUAUUCAAGACCAGCCUUAGUCCAUGGUGAUCUGAUAGGGUGCAUGGGAUUAUUUCAAUCUUCUUGUAUCUGUUGAGGCCUGUUUUGUGACCAAUUAUGUGGUAAUUGGAGAAGGUGCCUUGAGGUGCUGAGAAGAAGGUAUAUUCUUUUGCUUUAGUAUGAAAUGUACUAUAAAUCUCUCUUAGAUCCAUUUGGUUCAUUACUUGUGUUAGUUUCACUGUGUCUCUGUUUAGUUUCUGUUUCUAUGAUCUAUCUAUUGCUGAGAGUGGGGUGUUGAAGUCUCCCACCAUUAUUGUGUGCUUUGAGCUUUAGUAAAGUUUCUUUUAUGAAUGUGGAUGCCCCUGCAUUUGGAGCAUAGAUGUUCAGAAUUGAGAGUUCAUCUUGGUAGAUUUUUUUCCUUAGACCAGUAUGAAGUGUCCUUCCUUAUCUUUUUUUGAUAACUUUUGGUUGAAAGUUGAUUUUGUUUGAUAUUAGAAUGGCUACUCCAGCUUGUUUCUUGGGACCAUUUGCUUGGAAAAUUGAUUUCCAGCCUUUUACCCUGAGGUAGUGUCUGCCUUUGUCACUGAGGUGUGUUUCCUGUAUGCAGAAAAUGCUGGGUCCUGAUUACAUAUCCAGUCUGUUAGUCUAUGUCUUUUGGGGGGAAUUGAGUCCACUGAUGUUAAGGGAUAUUAAGGAAAAGUGAUUGUUACUCCCUGUUAUUUUUGGUGUUAGAGGUGGAAUUAUGUUUGUGUGGCUAUCUUUGUUUGGGUUUGUUGAAAGAUUACUUUCUUGCUUUUGCUAGGGUGUAGUUUCCCUCCUUGUGUUGGUGUUUUCUACCUAUUAUCCUUUGUAGGGCUGGAUUUAUGGAAAGAUAUUGUGUAAAUUUGGUUUUGUCAUGGAAUAUCUUGGUUUCUCCAUCUAUGGUAAUUGAGUUUUGUUGGGUAUAGUAGCCUGGGCUGGCAUUUGUGUUCUCAUAGGGUCUGUAUGAUAUCUGCCUAGGAUCUUCUAGCUUUCAUAGUCUCUGGUGAGAAGUCUGGUGUAAUUAUGAUAGAUCUGCCUUUAUAUGUUACUUGACCUUUUUCCCUACUGCUUUUAAUAAUCUUUCUUUGUUUACUGCAUUUGGUAUUUUGAUUGUUAUGUGCUGGGAGGAAUUUCUUUUCUGGUCCAGUCUAUUUGGAGUUCUACAGGCUUCUUGUAUGUUCCUGGGCAUCUUUUUCUUUAGGUUAGUGAAGUUUUCUUCUAUAAUUUUGUUGGAGAUAUUUACGGGCCCUUUAAGUUGGGAAUCUUCACUCUCUUCUAUUCUUUUUAUCCUUAGGUUUGUCUUCCCAUUGUGUCCUGGAUUUCCUGGAUGUUUUAGUGAAGAUCAGCAGAAAUGAAGACUCAAGACCAAUGAAGCUCGCCCCUCCCCCACUGAUACCCUGUCACUGUCCAUAUUUAUACAUUUAUACUCCCCCCAAACAGCACGUGAGUCUGUCUUAGCAAAACUCCACGUGAGUCUCUAUCAGUUGACAGCACUCUGCCAAUUCAUCAACAAGCUGCCAGAGCACCACCAGAAGUUCUUUGGUGAAUUUCUGUCUAUGGAGACACCACAAAUGAUGACCAAUAAACAAUGGUAAGACAUACCAAUACCAUCA